Molecule: long non-coding RNA, 450 nt
Organism: Apis dorsata (giant honeybee)
Lineage: Eukaryota; Metazoa; Arthropoda; Insecta; Hymenoptera; Apidae
Exons: 4
Source: RefSeq, a predicted model, not a curated record
AUUUUAUAAAAUGUUUUCCUGAUUAUUUAAAUCCAAUUCAAGUUAUUAUUGAAUAAUCUUUAUGUUACAAUUAAUCAUCAAGCUGACGUACUUCUUCCGGUAACCAAUCGAGCAUUCUGGUCGAUUGAUAGGUUUGUUGAUGAGAGUUUCAACCUAUGGUCUACUUUUGAGAGCGGUAACUAGUGUCUAAUUUACAUAUUUAGGCUGCCUAAAAUCUUUUCAAGAAAGAUCAUGAUCUGAAAAAUGUUUAAAAAGAGUUGUGCAACGUUUAAUGGAUGGAUUGCGUGCCACCAACAAUUGGUGCUUUCUUUUGAUUCGCAUUCUUCAAAGAAUAAUUUCUCAUGAUGUUCGCUUCGUGGACCUUUAACAUUCAUUUCAUUGCACGAAAAUAGAUGUUUGCUUACUAUGAAGAAACUCGAAACAAGAUAAAGGUAAACAGAUUAAUAAAAU